Molecule: ribosomal RNA, 529 nt
Filed under: uncultured bacterium
Lineage: Bacteria
Description: bacterial SSU rRNA
Rfam family: Bacterial small subunit ribosomal RNA
Source: RNAcentral
AAUAGAUACCCCGGUAGUCCACGCCGUAAACGAUGAGUGCUAAGUGUUAGAGGGUUUCCGCCCUUUAGUGCUGCAGCAAACGCAUUAAGCACUCCGCCUGGGGAGUACGGCCGCAAGGCUGAAACUCAAAGGAAUUGACGGGGGCCCGCACAAGCGGUGGAGCAUGUGGUUUAAUUCGAAGCAACGCGAAGAACCUUACCAGGUCUUGACAUCUCCUGACAAUCCUAGAGAUAGGACGUUCCCCUUCGGGGGACAGGAUGACAGGUGGUGCAUGGUUGUCGUCAGCUCGUGUCGUGAGAUGUUGGGUUAAGUCCCGCAACGAGCGCAACCCUUGAUCUUAGUUGCCAGCAUUUAGUUGGGCACUCUAAGGUGACUGCCGGUGACAAACCGGAGGAAGGUGGGGAUGACGUCAAAUCAUCAUGCCCCUUAUGACCUGGGCUACACACGUGCUACAAUGGAUGGUACAAAGGGCAGCAAAGCGGCGACGCCUAGCAAAUCCCAUAAAACCAUUCUCAGUUCGGAUUGUAGG